Molecule: ribosomal RNA, 453 nt
Filed under: uncultured bacterium
Lineage: Bacteria
Description: partial 16S ribosomal RNA
Rfam family: Bacterial small subunit ribosomal RNA
Source: RNAcentral
GAUGAACGCUGACAGAAUGCUUAACACAUGCAAGUCAACUUGAACUUCGGUUUGGGUGGCGGACGGGUGAGUAACGCGUAAAGAACUUGCCUCACAGAUAGGGACAACAUUUGGAAACGAAUGCUAAUACCUGAUAUUAUGAUUAUAUGGCAUCGUAUAAUUAUGAAAGCUAUAUGCGCUGUGAGAGAGCUUUGCGUCCCAUUAGCUAGUUGGAGAGGUAACGGCUCACCAAGGCGAUGAUGGGUAGCCGGCCUGAGAGGGUGAUCGGCCACAAGGGGACUGAGACACGGCCCUUACUCCUACGGGAGGCAGCAGUGGGGAAUAUUGGACAAUGGACCAAGAGUCUGAUCCAGCAAUUCGGUGUGCACGAUGAAGUUUUUCGGAAUGUAAAGUGCUUUCAGUUGGGAAGAAAAAAAUGACGGUACCAACAGAAGAAGUGACGGCUAAAUACGU